Molecule: long non-coding RNA, 1643 nt
Filed under: Triticum aestivum (bread wheat)
Lineage: Eukaryota; Viridiplantae; Streptophyta; Magnoliopsida; Poales; Poaceae
Description: long non-coding RNA (TAES_LNC028086)
Source: RNAcentral
GAUUUUGACGGCCGCCGCGGAUCUUCAUCUGAGCCGUGGCUCAGUCGUCAUCCGGGGAAAUUGGUCCGUGGAUCAGGAAAAGCGCUUUUCCGGCAGGGGUUGGUGCACGAUAUUAAUUGUACCCUCCUCGUCGGUGGCGCACAGGGUGUGAAGUCCUGUUUUGAGGAGACGAUUGCGUUCGGGGAGGUAAACUCCAUUGCCGGCGACGGAGUUCCUGAUGCAGCCAAUAAGCAGGUAACUUUGUGAUUUCCGUUGAUGAAAACUGAAUGCGGUUGGUUCUUUUGUGCGAUUUUGUUGAUUUCCUCUUUCUUGUUUGGAUCUGCGCUCGGAUCCAGGUUUCCCUUUUGAUUGAAGGAUCCAGAUUCCCCUUUUGAUUGAGGAGGUGGACGAGAGUGUUGGUUGAUGUGGGCCGGGAAACCGUCCGCCCGUCCGAGUAGAGCCGUGGCUUACUCCGGAGCUCGGCUCGGACAGCCAGAUCGCGGCCCAAGCGGUGGUGGUAGUGGAAAAGGGAAGGUUCACCUGAAGCGCCAGAGCUCUCCACAGGCAAGAUGAACCCUCAAGCUCUCGAAUGGAUUAAAAGGUACUCCAUAAUUUUUAUUUUCAGAGUGUCAACUGCCUACAGGAAUAAUUCAUUUUCAGUGUAUGGAUUUGGUAUUUCAUAAGAGAGUGGUUGCUGAUCUACAUUUUAGUUUGAUGGGCACAUAAAAUUGACUUUAACAACAUUGCGGACAUGAACGUAUGACAGGGUUAGUAUUGGUUGCCUAUUCUCACCAGAAAAAAACUUCUGUACAGUCUAAUUAAUAAACGGAAAACACCUUAUCAACAAUCAAGAGGGUCUCGUUACAAAAGUUUGGGAUUUGAAUUUGUCUCCUAUGAUGUGAUGUGGCCUGGCUUUUUGUAACAUUAAAAACCCCUUGUAUAAGCAUUGGUCUUUCCAUUAACUGUUUCGCUAACAGCCAGACAUGGUAGUUGUCAUUAGAUGAAACAAAGAAGUGUUGGUUGUUUUGUACUCCCUCUACAGGCGCAUACACUUAUUUCUGUCCACAGGAGUUAUUUCCCGAAUGUUCCAUUCAGAUGCAUUUCAUUGUUCUUGCUCACGUUCUUACCAAGCAAGUUAUAAAUUCUUUUCAAAUUAUAGAUCACCUGGCGAGCCUAAAUUCUUGGGAGGCAUUUGUAAUACCUCCUUUUUUUUCUUACAGAUUAUUACUUUCCAUUUAACUGUUUGAAAGUGUAUUAUAUGUACAUUUUAAUUUGGUUUUAGUUCUGUUAAACUCAAACUAUUUGACAUAUUGCAGACCGUAGCGACGAAGAGGCGGAGGAUGAUAGCUUUAAGCAUGUAAGCCUUUAGUAAUGUGACUUGUGGAUUUUUGUUUUCCUUCUAUAUAUUACUUGUUAUUUAUGGACUCCAUAGAUCCAAUUGCCAUUGGCUUAUAUAAUUCAGGAGAUAAAGGGUGAAGCGCGACGCAUUCGAGCAAUCGAUUGAUCAGAUCUCUCGAUCCAAAAGCUCCUAGAUAGACGCACAUGUAAUCACUUAAUCACUAAAUUAAUCACUGAAUUUUUAAUACUCUGUUACUGCAUACCGCGGGAUAGUAUGAACUGCUGGAGCUGUGUGCAGGCGUUGUGGAGUUUUACUGUCAGGGCAG